This is a long non-coding RNA of Rattus norvegicus (Norway rat), 881 nucleotides long. RefSeq lists it as uncharacterized. NCBI's taxonomy places the organism in Eukaryota, Metazoa, Chordata, Mammalia, Rodentia, Muridae. The record is from RefSeq and is a predicted model, not a curated record.
UGAGCCAGAGCCCAAGGGGCAGCACCUGCAGGGAGGCACAGGGCAAGGGAAGGAGGGAGAGAUCCCUGGGUUCUCUGGGGUCCUCUCUCUGCCUAUGGAGUCCAACUAUUCCAGCCUUCAAGGAUCUGAAUUUACUGUAGCUAAGACUUCCAUAGAUGAUCCUCUGAAUCUACUUCAGAACCAGAGAAACUGAGGCCAGGGAGGGGAACUGCCAGCUAGCAGCUGCUGCUAUCCCAAGAACUGAGGAUCGAGCUGCUCUCUCACCACUUCGGAAAAAGAGAGAAACGGGAUCCGCAGAGAUGGUUUGUUGGGAGAGCGGUGGCAGCAGAUGCUUGAAGCAGCCAGACACAUCACAUCCAACAGUCAGAAAACAUCCGUGUGUUCUGGUACUCGGCUGCCUUCCCCUUUCUGCAGUCUGGAAUGGCACUGCCCACAUUUGAGUCUACAGGCAAGGAGACUGAAGCAUGGGAGAGACUUAUCUACGUGGCAACUUUGUGAAGAGGCUGCAGUUGGGCCCAGCCUGUCCAGCCACCCCGCUCAGCCAUAUGGAUACAACUUUCCCUAGACCUGUACACUCAACCAUCCAGAUAUCAGAAGCCAUUUGUACAGUAACUGGCCUGGAUCCUUUUAGAAGAAAAAUGUGAUUUUCUUUUCCACUCUGCAAGCUCCUGCUUCGCCCUCCAUCCAGUCCUUGUUUAUUUCAGUAAAGAAACAGCCUUUGACGUCCUCCAAGAGGAACAGGGCAGCACUACAAACAUCGAGAAGCAUGCCACACGUUGGUUGGAACAUGGAAGUUUUGUAAGGUUUAAUAAGUUCUUGGAACCCAUGGAUGCUGCUGUCCUUUCAAGGUGAAAUUAAAAAAUAAAACACCCUGAAAAUCA